Molecule: ribosomal RNA, 430 nt
Filed under: uncultured bacterium
Lineage: Bacteria
Description: partial 16S ribosomal RNA
Rfam family: Bacterial small subunit ribosomal RNA
Source: RNAcentral
CCUACGGGUGGCAGCGGUCGAGAAUCUUUCACAAUGGGGGCAACCCUGAUGGAGCGACGCCGCGUGGAGGAUAAGGUCUUCGGAUUGUAAACUCCUGUCAUGCGAGAGCUAGUAUCGCAAGAGGAAGAGACGGCUAACUCUGUGCCAGCAGCCGCGGUAAUACAGAGGUCUCAAGCGUUGUUCGGAAUCACUGGGCGUAAAGGGUGCGUAGGCGGCGGAGUAAGUCGGGUGUGAAAUUUGAAGGCUCAACCUUCAACUAGCACCUGAUACUGCUUUGCGUGAGGUCUGAAGAGGAGCUUGGAAUUCUCGGUGUAGCAGUGAAAUGCGUAGAUUUCGAGAAGAACGCUCGCAGCGAAAGCGAAGCUCUGGUCAGUCUGACGCUGAGGCACGAAGUCUAGGGGAGCAAACGGGAUUAAAUACCCCUGUAGUC